GUUGGCUGUACCAGAAGUCGGUCGCUUAACCUUCGGGAGGGCGCCGACCACGGUGUGGUAAUGACUGGGGUGAAGUCGUAACAAGGUAGCCGUAGAUGAACCUGUAGAAAGAUCA
This 115-nucleotide ribosomal RNA is filed under the name uncultured eukaryote. Its description in RNAcentral is "partial small subunit ribosomal RNA". It matches the Rfam family "Bacterial small subunit ribosomal RNA", at positions 1410 to 1525 of the family's 1533-position model. The record is from RNAcentral.